Small nuclear RNA from Phyllostomus discolor (pale spear-nosed bat), 164 nucleotides. RefSeq annotates it as U1 spliceosomal RNA. The record is from RefSeq and is a predicted model, not a curated record. The transcript has a single exon. NCBI's taxonomy places the organism in Eukaryota, Metazoa, Chordata, Mammalia, Chiroptera, Phyllostomidae.
AUACUUAUCAGGCAGGGGAGAUACCAUAAUCAUGAAGAUGGUUUUCUCAAGGUGAAGCUCACCCAUUACACUCCGGAUGUGCUGACCCCUACGAUUUCCCCAAAUGUGAGAAAUUCGACUGCACAAUUUGUGGUAGUGGGGGACUGUGUCCAUGCUCUCUCCCC